RNAcentral lists this ribosomal RNA (253 nucleotides) under uncultured bacterium. RNAcentral's name for it is "partial 16S ribosomal RNA". It matches the Rfam family "Bacterial small subunit ribosomal RNA", at positions 524 to 776 of the family's 1533-position model. The record is from RNAcentral.
GACAGAGGGUGCGAACGUUGUUCGGAAUUACUGGGCGUAAAGCGCGUGCAGGCGGUCUCGCAAGUCGGGUGUGAAAGCCCUGGGCUCAACCCAGGAAGUGCAUUCGAUACUGCGAGACUCGAGUCCCGGAGAGGAUGGCGGAACUCUCGGUGUAGAGGUGAAAUUCGUAGAUAUCGAGAAGAACAUCGGUGGCGAAGGCGGCCAUCUGGACGGUGACUGACGCUAAAGCGCGAAAGCGUGGGGAGCAAACAGG